Molecule: long non-coding RNA, 961 nt
Organism: Loxodonta africana (African savanna elephant)
Lineage: Eukaryota; Metazoa; Chordata; Mammalia; Proboscidea; Elephantidae
Exons: 3
Source: RefSeq, a predicted model, not a curated record
AAAAGUCACUGGUAUAUGAAGCUGCAAGGUUGCUGAGGAGGACAGGGAAUCUUUCUUGAAGUGGGAAUGGCCUUGCAGGGCUGAUGGACUUCUAGUUAGUUCGGGGCAACUAUACCAUGCAAUAGCAGAGAAGAAGUCCCUUUGAUGAACUGGCCAGACUUCUGCUUUCUUUUCAUGAGGAUCCAGGGUCUCAUACUCCUGAAGCCUUGAGUCAUCUGUCUACAUUCUAGCUUCUGCCACCCAGCCAGCUAAGGUAUGAAAGCAGCCAAGCUUCAAGCAGAUGACACUUGGCUCCAGCUGCCCCAUCCUGAUUAUCCCCAGUGCACAUCGUCCUCUCUGGUUUCCUUGCUGUCUGGAACCCACAUGUCCCUGGAUGUUGUAAAUGGUUUGCACUUGACUACUAACCGAAAGGUCGGUGGUUCAAACCCACCCAGAAGCAUUGUGGAAGAAAGGCCUGGUGAUCUGCUUUUGUAAAGAUUGCAAUCAAGAAAACACUAUGGAGCAGUUCUACUGCAUAACACGUGAGGUUGCCGUAAAUCGGAACCGACACUCCAGAAACUAGUUUGAUUUUUAAAUGCUUUGUUAAAGAAUAUCCUGGAGUCACUGCACUUGGGGCGCGGUGUUUCAUGCAGCUUCCCCCAGCCAGCGCCUGUCAUUCCGUAUAGGUAGGUGCUUAUGUAGGUUAAGGAAACCAGGACACAGAAAGCUGUAUAGGUGACUAUAUGGCCAGCUCUCACUAUCUGCCGCAGUGAGGAAACAGUGGCCCAAAUCAUUCCAAAUGUGAAUAUCCUGAAAUCGUUUGUUUGGAUCUUUGAAAUGUAUCAGAACAGAAUUUUUAGCCACUGGAGUUACACUGAAUCAGGAAUUAUAAUGAACGCAGAAGAGCACUGAGUAUGUUUUGCCAUCGUGUUAUCUUUGUGGUUGCUGAAUAAACAAUACUUAAGAAAGAAUAAACUGCUUA